GAUGAAGAACGUAGCGAAAUGCGAUAAGUAAUGUGAAUUGCAGAAUUCAGUGAAUCAUCGAAUCUUUGAACGCACAUUGCGCCCCCAGUAUUCUGGCGGGCAUGCCUGUUCGAGCGUCAUUUCAACCAUCAAGCCCUGCUUGUGUUGGGGUCCUGCGGCUGCCCGCAGGCCCUGAAAACCAGUGGCGGGCUCGCUAGUCACACCGAGCGCAGUAGCACAUCUCGCUCAGGGCGUGCGGCGGGCUCCAGCCGUUAAAGCACCCACCUUUCGCAAGGUUGACCUCGGAUCAGGUAGGAAUACCCGCUGAACUUAAGCAUAUCAAUAAGCGGAGGA
RNAcentral lists this unclassified non-coding RNA (333 nucleotides) under soil metagenome. Its description in RNAcentral is "partial contains 5.8S ribosomal RNA, internal transcribed spacer 2, and large subunit ribosomal RNA". The stretch from base 1 to 119 matches the Rfam family "5.8S ribosomal RNA", at positions 35 to 154 of the family's 154-position model. The record is from RNAcentral.